ACUGAAUUUUUUUUCACCUCGACUUUUAUUUUUUUCAUUCUCAAUGGUGCGUUACAACAGCCGCGGCAUCGAUCAGACUUUUUAAAAGUCAAAUUUAAUUCCUCUGAAUUUAUUACACUCUAUUUAUUUUUCAGUGAAUGGAAGUGAGAUAAAGCCUGAUUAUGCCGAAAGGGUAUUCACGCCUAUUGGCAAUAAUUAUCAGGGGGAUAUUACGGAGAAUAGCUGGUGAUGUGCCGCUGGACGAUUGCCUUGGCAAUCUCUCUCGUGACUUCAAAUAACACGGCUGCUCUGCUCUUACCAGAGGACACUGCGACUUACGCCCGAUUUCAACGAAAAUAAAGGCAUCCGUUGAAAUAAUAACGUCGACGAUACCUCGAGGAAUGUUCGUCGAGAAGUCUUAAAAGCUUUUUGUUUAGUGGACCUGAGAAGGGCGCCGGUCUCGCGAGAUGGAGACAAAUUCAUGAAAUUCAGUUGAAAACCGUCUGUUACGAGGGCUUUUAACGGUCGUCGGGGGGUAGUCGAUCGUUGCCAUCCGUUAAGGAACACUUCCGCGGCUGGCUGGAGGACCUACUACACAGAUUUCAGUUGUUCAUCUUACGACCGACUGUCAUAAAUGAAUUCAUUUUACUGUCCCGGGACUACUAAAAGGGUCGUCAACGGGUUUCUCGUAAAAUUGAUGUUAUGAGAUUCAAAAAGUCUGGGAUGUGUAUCAAUAAUAUCCGCAUUACAUACGAUAACUGUCGAAUAAGCGAUAUUUCCAUUUGAAUUACCCGAAAUUUCCGCUCCAAUCGUCGAGUAAAAUGAGGGAAAAUUAGGGCGAAUUAGGAGCGCAUAAUCUUCAAUUACAUUGUUAUGAGAUGCCAAAAUUCCCAAACUUUUCAAAAUCCAUUGGAAUAAAUGAUAAAUUCCUAAACUAUUGAAAGCAUUCAGAUUUUUCCCCAACGUUCUCUGGUUGGA
Molecule: long non-coding RNA, 957 nt
Organism: Diachasmimorpha longicaudata
Lineage: Eukaryota; Metazoa; Arthropoda; Insecta; Hymenoptera; Braconidae
Exons: 3
Source: RefSeq, a predicted model, not a curated record